CGCCUCCAGUUUCCAGUGGUAAAUUUUAGGUUAUGUGUUUAUGUUUAUGUGUGUUUGUUGAAACCGACAUUAAAUUUGAUUAUUUCAUUGAAAAGUAUUAACAGAAGAUAAGGAAAUUAAGCCGUAGUAAUACUGACUAUCCAAUAAAACUACAAAGUUAUCUUUCAAUUCAACAUGGGACAGGAUUAUUUCUAAGAUGAGGCUUGAACCUGUGAAUUACUGAGCUAUUGAUGCUAUGUACGUAUAUCUAAUGUUCCAAGGAUUAUAACUUUUCUGUGAUCAUCUUACAACAGUGUAUAUUCACAUGGAAAGAGAAUCGAGGGAGAAAUGAACUAGUUAUUAUUGUUAAAAUAAUGAACAAUUUCGUUUCGUACUACUUCUCCUCUCAUAUGCCAAUUCCCUUGAUGUACAAUGUUGACUGGAAUAUUGUUAUCGUCGUUGUGUUGAUCAACUUCUUCGAAGAUUUCUUCAUCAGGCAGUUCAUCUUUGUAAAAGCGUGCUAUGUUGUGUAGCACUCCGCAGCUAUAAAUAAUUUUACCAGCUUUUAUGGGAUCAUAAUUCAAUACACGAUGUUUAAGUGUGUUUUCUGGAGCAUUUUCAAAUGGAGUUAAUAGAAAGGGCUGUAAAGGGUAUCCAGAGUCUCCAAUUAUAAAUAAAUUAGAGCCUUGAAUAUACUGAUUUUCCAUAAUAGCUUUGACAUGUGAAGCUUGCCAUAUAGCUGAAUCGUGAGUAGAACCAGGGAAGCGAGCGUUCAUGUUUAAUAUAUUAUAAUCGCUGUCCACAAUUAUUUGGCAAUUUAUACUAUAAUAUCCUUUCCUACAGAAGUAUGGCAGUGCUGGAUAAUUUUCUAGUGGUGAUAUAAUUGCAAUAUGGGUGCAAUCAAUAACACCCAAACAUCUUGGCAUGUUAAAUUUGUCCAUGAACCCUUCUACAACUUUAUUCUUUGCAUUUUGAGUUUGGGGAAAUUUUAUCCAAUUAGGUUGGCUUAUUGCAAAAUUAUAAUCAUGGGCACUAGUUAGUUGAUACCCGCCAGUAGCAUAAAAGUGGAGGCUUGCAAGGAACUUCAAUUCUAGUGGUACAGCUGUAAUUCUUGGUCCUUGCUGUAGAUAAGGUCUAAUCAUAUCAAUUAUUACUCUUGUGACAUCUUUAUUAAAUCGGAAGAUUGUUUUGAAUGUUUUGUUAGGAAGUUGGAAUGGAUUAUUCAUAUCUCUAAUUAAUCUCUGAUGAAGCCUAACUUCAGCUCUGUAGAAUUUUGAAACCAAAUAGGAGUAUAAUAAUGUAGAUAUUUAUGCAAAAAUAUAAUUAUUUACCUUUCCUCAUCUUCAAUAAAUUCAUCCACCAAUAUUUCGCCGGCAAUAUCGAAAAAAGCCAUUUUAUGAGCGUUUUAAAGGUGUUUUUUACUAAAUAUAAAAAUUUCGAAUACGCUAAACGUCAAAAACUUAUGGCCGCUAAAAUUUAAAGGUGAUUGUUCCGACCCCUCUAAAAUUUUUCAUUUUAGAGGGCGAUUUUAAAGGAAUCUGUUAAAUUUUAACAGGUUUUGAAGUUGGUGAAUACCAAAUCAAUUUUAAGGGCCGCUAAAAUUUUAAAGGCCUCUAAAUUUUAACGGGACGGUUACAGAAUAGACCCCUAUUUGCUCUUAUCACCAAAAGCACAUUAAAAUCCAUUUUGCCCCCAAAAAAUCCACAAACUAAUUUGAUUCAGACUACUGUAACCUCUGAUACUAUUAUAU
This is a long non-coding RNA of Zophobas morio, 1729 nucleotides long. RefSeq lists it as uncharacterized. NCBI's taxonomy places the organism in Eukaryota, Metazoa, Arthropoda, Insecta, Coleoptera, Tenebrionidae. The record is from RefSeq and is a predicted model, not a curated record. The transcript has 4 exons.